Molecule: ribosomal RNA, 472 nt
Filed under: uncultured bacterium
Lineage: Bacteria
Description: bacterial SSU rRNA
Rfam family: Bacterial small subunit ribosomal RNA
Source: RNAcentral
UGGGGAAUAUUGGACAAUGGGGGAAACCCUGAUCCAGCGACGCCGCGUGUGUGAAGAAGGCCUGCGGGUUGUAAAGCACUUUCAGUUGGGAAGAGAAUCUAUUAGUGAAUACCUAAUAGAGGAGACGUUACUAACAAAAGAAGCACCGGCUAACUCUGUGCCAGCAGCCGCGGUAAUACAGAGGGUGCGAGCGUUAAUCGGAAUUACUGGGCGUAAAGUGUGCGCAGGCGGCUUCGCAAGUCGAGUGUGAAAUCCCCGGGCUUAACUUGGGAACGGCGCUCGAAACUACGGAGCUAGAGUAUGGCAGAGGGAGGUGGAAUUCCACGUGUAGCGGUGAAAUGCGUAGAGAUGUGGAGGAACACCAAUGGCGAAGGCAGCCUCCUGGGCCAAUACUGACGCUCAUGCACGAAAGCGUGGGGAGCAAACAGGAUUAGAUACCCACGUAGUCCCUGAGCGGGCUGGCAAGGCGCAU